AACCUAUGGUGAGGGUACCUUCUCAAAAGAUCAUUGUAUCUCUCUCAUGCAUCAUAGAUUGUUUUUAGAUCCAUCUGCAUAAAAGAAGAGAUGACAUUCCUCAACUU
Molecule: small nucleolar RNA, 107 nt
Organism: Gossypium arboreum
Lineage: Eukaryota; Viridiplantae; Streptophyta; Magnoliopsida; Malvales; Malvaceae
Rfam family: Plant small nucleolar RNA R71
About the family: R71 is a member of the C/D box family of snoRNAs containing the C (UGAUGA) and D (CUGA) box motifs. Multiple nearly identical copies of this snoRNA have been identified in Arabidopsis, and it is thought to function as a 2'-O-ribose methylation guide for 18S ribosomal RNA.
Source: Rfam